ACUGCUCAGUAACACGUAGUCAACAUGCCCAGGGGACGUGGAUAACCUCGGGAAACUGAGGAUAAACCGCGAUAGGUCAUAGUAUCUGGAAUGAUUUAUGGCUUAAAUCUAUAUGGCCUCUGGAUUGGACUGCGGCCGAUCAGGCUGUUGGUGAGGUAAUGGCCCACCAAACCUAAAACCGGUACGGGCUCUGAGAGGAGAAGCCCGGAGAUGGGCACUGAGACAAGGGCCCAGGCCCUAUGGGGCGCAGCAGGCGCGAAAACUCUGCAAUAAGCGAAAGCUUGACAGGGUUAUUCUGAGUGAUUUCCGCUAAGGAAAUCUUUUGGCACCUCUAAAAAUGGUGCAGAAUAAGGGGUGGGCAAGCCUGGUGUCAGCCGCCGCGGUAAUACCAGCACCCCGAGUGGUCGGGACGAUUAUUGGGCCUAAAGCAUCCGUAGCCGGUUCUACAAGUCUUCCGUUAAAUCCACCUGCUCAACAGAUGGGCUGCGGAGGAUACUAUAGAGCUAGGAGGCGGGAGAGGCAAGCGGUACUCAGUGGGUAGGGGUAAAAUCCGUUGAUCCAUUGAAGACCACCAGUGGCGAAGGCGGCUUGCCAGAACGCACUCGACGGUGAGGGAUGAAAGCUGGGGGAGCAAACCGGAUUAGAUACCCGGGUAGUCCCAGCUGUAAACGAUGCAGACUCGGUGAUGAAUAGGCUUCGUGCCUAUUCAGUGCCGCAGGGAAGCCGUUAAGUCUGCCGCCUGGGGAGUACGGUCGCAAGACUGAAACUUAAAGGAAUUGGCGGGGGAGCA
This 790-nucleotide ribosomal RNA is filed under the name uncultured archaeon. RNAcentral's name for it is "bacterial SSU rRNA". It matches the Rfam family "Archaeal small subunit ribosomal RNA", at positions 85 to 878 of the family's 1478-position model. The record is from RNAcentral.